RNAcentral lists this long non-coding RNA (1442 nucleotides) under Monodelphis domestica (gray short-tailed opossum). RNAcentral's name for it is "lncRNA (ENSMODG00000029868.2)". The record is from RNAcentral. Lineage: Eukaryota; Metazoa; Chordata; Mammalia; Didelphimorphia; Didelphidae.
AUAGGGGCAUUGCUAGCAAUGGAUAGAAGUUGUGUGAAUUUCAAAAUUUUUGUUCGAGAAAAAUCUUCAGAGAAGAAGCUUGCUAACUCCUAAAUCCAGAGAAUGAACUGUUUGCAGAAAGAUACCUAAACCCUUACACUACAGGAAAAUCCAGAAUGAACCUUGGGGUGUGGUUGAUUGAACAUUUAUUUUGAAUGUACACUCUUAUGCCAAAGGGGACUGCCCCCUAAUUGGCUUUUGUCAAUGUGCCCAGCAAAACAUUGCUUUUUUGUCUCUCUCUCUCUCUCUCUCUCUCCUAUUUUCCCCUUAUCUCUCUAACUAUUGUAAUUUCAUAGCUGGUAUGUUUACAAGACCCAUUGGAGAGACUAGUCUUCCUCAGGCCUCAGGGGGAAUUGUGAAUUUCAAAACUAUUCCACCCUAUUCAGACCAUUCUUUAGAAAAAUUUAGCUAUUUCCUGAUCAAUAACAAUAGAGAUACUUGGAAUAACAGAAUCAGGUCUUGGAAGCUACCUUUCUCCUCCCUUCUUAGUUUAACAAGAUUAGGAAGGUCUGCAUCAAACUCAAGAUUUAAUCUGAGAAAAUGGCUUUCAACGGAUAUGUGCAAAAAAAGAACAGACCUCUGGACUGUCCUAAGUCAAGCUUGAGCCACCAUUGGCACAUGUGAGACACAGGAAGUGAGAUAAAAAACAGCCUCUGGAGUUCUCGUGACUUCCUGUGGAGAGGGCUAGAGUUCAGUUCGAUCCUGGAGCUCAAGCUUGGAGGAGCUCAGCAGACAGCUUUCCUUCAGACUGGUCACGACAGACAGAGAGGCCUUGUAUGUUAUGAGAACGGAUCUUUGGAAGAAGGACUUUGUUACCCGAGGUCUCAGGGGGUGGGAGGAGAAGAUAGAUAAGAACAGAACUCAAGAGUUGACAUUCCCAGCCCACCAUACUCAAAUUCUGCCUUUAUUUAAUGGGAGAGAUUGUUUGCUUCAGCCAGAUGUUCAAGCGCACUCCACCAACAUCCCAACCCAGGAAGGAAAACAAGCUAGCCACAGAAGACCACCCAAUUUAUCUCCUUUCUCUGUCAGCAAUCCAAGAGUCAGGAGGCUCCUGGGAAAUGUAGUUCAAAGGCACAAGAUUUCCAAUUACAUUCAAGGGAGCAUCUACAGAAGUAAUUCAGCUGCCCUAGCAAGGGGGACAUUUUCAAAGGAUGAAGAAUUGACUGAACCUCAAAGGCUGGAUGAUUCCAUUUAUGCACUUCAGUACAACUCCGUCACACCUUUGGGCUCACCCUAGCCAAAAGCCUUUGGUCUCUUUCUUCACCUUGCUUUACACUCCCUUCUUCUCCCCCCACCUCAACCUUUCAGCUCCACUUUACAUUUAAGUGGGUUCAGAUGGGUUUCUGAUGUGCUGUGGCCUUGGAUGUAUUACUGAAUAAACAAUUCUAGAAAUCAAUUAAGCA